UAAUAAGUGUUUUAUGGCACUUUUUAAAUCCAUAUCCACCUUGUGUGCAAUGUCGGUCGAUCUUCUUUUUUUGAGGAUCGACCAAACAUCAACCUUUAUUUUUUAACCCUUUGUCUGAAAAAUAUUAUGAAUAACAAUUCAAAAUA
This 146-nucleotide unclassified non-coding RNA is filed under the name soil metagenome. Its description in RNAcentral is "partial internal transcribed spacer 1". The record is from RNAcentral.